This 443-nucleotide ribosomal RNA is filed under the name uncultured bacterium. RNAcentral describes it as "partial 16S ribosomal RNA". It matches the Rfam family "Bacterial small subunit ribosomal RNA", at positions 338 to 795 of the family's 1533-position model. The record is from RNAcentral.
CCUACGGGAGGCAGCAGUGGGGGAUAUUGGACAAUGGGGGAAACCCUGAUCCAGCGACGCUGCGUGAGUGAAGAAGUAUCUCGGUAUGUAAAGCUCUGUCAGCAGGGAAGAAAGAAAUGACGGUACUUGACCAAGAAGCCCCGGCUAACUACGUGCCAGCAGCCGCGGUAAUACGUAGGGGGCAAGCGUUAUCCGGAAUUACUGGGUGUAAAGGGGGCGUAGAAGGUGAGGCAAAUCUGGAGUGAAAGGCGGGGGCCCAACCCCCGGACUGUUCUGGAAACUUUGUAACUUGAGUGCAGGAGAGGUAAGCGGAAUUCCUAGUGUAGCGGUGAAAUGCGUAGAUAUUAGGAGGAACACCAGUGGCGAAGGCGGCUUACUGGACUGUAACUGACGUUGAGGCUCGAAAGCGUGGGGAGCAAACAGGAUUAGAUACCCUUGUAGUC